This 40664-nucleotide long non-coding RNA is filed under the name Brachypodium distachyon (stiff brome). RNAcentral's name for it is "long non-coding RNA (BDIS_LNC003196)". The stretch from base 8587 to 8708 matches the Rfam family "MIR1120/MIR1122 microRNA precursor family". Lineage: Eukaryota; Viridiplantae; Streptophyta; Magnoliopsida; Poales; Poaceae. The record is from RNAcentral.
GCUAACAAUUACAUCGUAGACACACCCACGCACGAUGUCUAGAGAAGAUAAGACUAAUGCAGGUGGUUCUUCGAUGACCUACGCCAGAACAGUUAAACGAGUAGCCUUCAUAUGUGGCCAACUCAAUUGCUCCCUGCUGUCAUUACUGUCAACACUGCUUGGCGCGUCCUCCUCACCUCGUGCAUUACUAUAGCGUAAUUUAUAUAGCAACGCGAGCCAAUAUACAGCACGCAAAACAAAUCAGCAAUUACUUAUUGAAAACACGAAAACGAUCGUAGAUCCAAAAAGAGAAGGAAAAAACCCAACGAAGACAGGGCCGAAUUAAGCUCUUUCGCAGGCGUGUUAGUACCUUGUAUGAAUGAACCCCGAGGCAAUACGAGAUGUAGACGUCGAGGCAGGCGUAGGUGACCUGGUCCUCCGAGAGCUUGCGGCCGUUCCAGUUGCUGAGGGCCACCUGCCUGGGCUUCUUCACCCCGCUCAACCCGAGGACGCGUUCCCCAUGCCGGUCACGGCGCGCAGCUCCGCGGCGCGGCUCACCUCCAGGUCGUAGUGCGCGCCGAGCGCGCGGCAGUCGGACAGGACGUUGUACCCGACGAAAACCACGGACGGGUAGUCGCGCAGGAAGCGGCGGAGCACGUUGGGGAUGCAGCCCCCGGCCUGCGCGAUCUGGAAGACGAGGCAGCGGUGGCCGCAGCAGAGCUGCAGCGUGCCGGGGCCGCGGAAGGGGGGCAUCCACUGCACGCCCAUGUCGACCGUGCAGCGGAAGGGGGGCGUUCGUCCACGUCCAACUCCAGAUUUCUGCAUCCCAAAUUUAAGAGAAAAGUCCGUUUUCAACCCUGUACUUGUAGACGACGUCCGAGAUGAACCCUGAUGUCAUUUUACGUCUGUUACUAAUGAUUCUGAAGCGACCGCCCCCUUACAAGGGUUCGAUCUCUGUGCUUUAGUGCUAGUCCCUGGAUCGACUCACUAGCACACACAGUUUCAAGAUGUAAUAUCAUAGAACAAAGGUCUCAAUAUUACAACGAAUCAUCCAGAAUUUUAAAAAAAUACUUACAACUCGCAUAACCUCACGGGUUAGCUGGAAAGAAAACAACUGUUUAGUAGCGGAAAACGAAAGAUACAAGGGCACAUCAACACCACGGUGAGAGCGUGUUGGAAUGUAGGCCCGUAACCCAACAAACAGGACGUACAUCUUACUCGUCGUCGGAGCUUCCUGCAUCAUUAAACGAUGCAGCCGCUAGGGUCAAUACAUUGAAUGUAUUGGCAAGAUUCACUAGGAGUUAUAACAGAACCUACCAAGUAUAUGCAUAAUGUGGCAAAGUGGAGUUCAGGCUAUUUGCGUGGAAGCAGAACAUAGAUUACCCUACUACAAAGGAAUGUUAUAAUAAUGUUAACUAAUGGACACGGGGUAGACACACCCAUGCUCCUAUUAACCUAGAGUACAUUGAAGUGGAUUCUUCAAGUGCUCCUACCCUGUUCAAACCAUUCAUUUUAUUUAAGAAAUUGGAAUGAGUGAGACUUUCCUUACAGCUCCACAUCUAGUUGCUCAAAUUGUCCGUUGCCGGGGACACGGCUAAGUACUUAGUUUUGACGCUCUCGAGAGUUUGUACACAUUCCCCACAAGAAACCGACGUGUUAAUCCCUUGCUGUCCUCAGGGUAGAGUAGCAACGGCAUCGAUUACGAGAUUUUCAGAGAUAAUUCCCUAAACCACGAGAGAAUCACGCUCCCCCUACACGGCUACCUCAGUACAAUUCCUCGGGUCUAGGUUCAUACAACUUACUCUUGUCUCGCCAGAGCCCAUAUAGCAUUGUGGUUGUACUUGAAGCUUCUAAAUAGGAAACUAGUCCAGUCUCGGUUACCCCAGGUGGCAUUCCACAUUUGCAACGUAGGCGCUCCCCGAAUCCACGGGAGAGACGUCCAUGGACGAUCCAUUCCUGAAUCCACAGGAACUCGACUCAGAGGGACCCAUAGAAAUGGACCUGACGCCGCUAAUCCUCAAAAUCCUCAAAGCAGCCCACCCAGGACGGUUCAUUAAAUUAAUUGUUUUUCCCUACAUCUCACAAAAACAUUUCAUAUCGCCAAAGGCAUAACAAUAUCAUAAUGUAGUUAUUUCCCCCACGAUACUACCAUAGCCUAGCAUUCAACUACAAUCGAUGGCAAUUUUGGUAGCAAGGUAAUGGCGAGGGUAAAAUAGACUACCUGGGAUUUAUAGCUAGCAUAGAAGUACGAGUAAUAUUCCUGAUGCAACUAAUAAAACAUCUAGUGCAUAGUAAAAUAUUUAGGAGAAUGAUCAAAGUGAACUUGCCUUGUCCAAGGUUGUGAUAGUUCUCGCACUCUUCGCAACAACAAGAAAUACACUCCACACAAUCUAAAAUAAAAGACACACACACAAUAAACACAACAUUCAAUACAAAAACCAUGCCAUGAUGCAUAUGCUAAGAUGAUGCACACAAAGGUUACUUCUAGCGUACAAAGUUUCGUUUCUGUUUUGAAAAGGCUCUCAAAAGAUUUGGACAGAUUAUACAACAUUAAAGUGGUAAUUAAUAUGCAUGAUACAUGAAUAGGGUUUAAAACGAAAGGUUGUGCGGCUUUUGCAACAUAGAGCAAUAUUUCACUUGCAUGCCAUGAUUAUACACAAAAUAAUUUCUUUUCUGGUCCUAAUGGAUAGAGAACAAGUUUAAAUAAUUUUACAGCAAGAUAACAUGUUCAAAACUAUUUUGAAACCAUUCAUUCGAAAUUUAAACCAUAAACCACCAUUCUGUAAAUAGCUACUGUCUAAGUUAUUCAAAACUGAAAAUAAAUGGUGCCAAAAUAUUCUACACGUUGAGACGAUUCCAGAAAGGUGUGGAUCGUAAAUUUUGGACAAACGGUUUAAAAGAUAUAAGGUUUUGAAAUUGUAGGGGCUUUUCUGCAAAAAUUGCAUUAUCUAAUUCGGCCGAAUUAAAAAAACAAUGACUCUCGCCACGUGGCGAAACCUGACUGGCCCGGUUCUAGGGUUCCGGCCGGCGGGCGAGCUCGCCGGCGGCGGCGCGGGCAGGCGGCGCGGGGCGGCGCGGCGCGGGCGCGGGCCGCGCGGAGGCGGAGCGCGGGCAGCAGCGGGGGCGAGCGGCGCGGGCGGCGCGCGGGCGAGCAGCGGGGGCGAGCGCAGGCGGCUGCGCGGGCACGGACAGCGCGCGGAGGGCGGCCGGCGGCGGCGGCGCACGGGCGCGGGGCGGAGCACGGGCGCGCGGGCACGGCGCGGGCGCACGGGCAGGCGGGCGUGGAGGCGGCGCGGGGCGGCGACCGGAGGUGGCACGACGAGCGGCGGCGGCCGGCGCUGAGGAAGACGGCGGCGCGGCGAGCGCGCGGAGCGCCAAAUCGGAAACUACUCGCGUCACAGCGUGCGCAAGGAAGAGAGGAGGAAGACUAGGGGGUAGGCGCGGGCGGAGACUCACCGGAACGGCGGCGAAACGCGAAGAACGGCGGUGGCAGCAACGAACUCCGGCGAGCAAUUACUUUCUAACCGGUGCGAAAUUGGACUUGGGGUUUGGAGGAAGUGGAGGAGAAAAUCGAGGCCUUCGGGGUGACGCGCAAGGAUUUGGAAAAAACAGCCCGAGCGCGGAGAAAUCGGAGGUGGAGUCGUGGGCAGUUCGCGGGCGUGCGUGGCCGGAUUUUUCGGACGGAGGUUGAAGAUGACGCGUGGGUCCCACCGGUCAGUGAGGGUGGCCGGCCGGUUCGGGCUGGGCCGGUUCGGUUCGAUCCGGUCCUGUCCGGUUUGACCGGUUCGGUCCGGUUUUCCUCGGUUUUUCCUUUUCUUUUAUCUAUUUUCUGUUUUUGAACCUCAAAAUUGAUUCGGAGCUCCAAAUCACUCCAAAUAAAAUGCAACAAAAAUUUUAAAAUCAUAUUUUCAUAUGAUCUAACUUUUGGAGCAAGAAUUUUCUCAAAAUAAAAUAUUUAAAAAUAAAUUUGCCUAUAAAAUGGCUUUAGAGCCCUUAGGCUAUCGAAUCAAAUUAUUUUUCAAAAUACUUUUAAAAGCCAAUUUAUGAGAUAGCUCUAUAUAUAUGCAUUAAAUCCCUUUUUACCACAAUACCCUCAUGGGUUAAAAUGCAAAUACUGAAAGGCAAGAUCAACGACCAAAAUCAAAUAAAGGCGUUUUUGCAAAAAGGGUUUUCUGGGCAAACUUUAGGGUUUUGAAAGUGAUCAAAUGCAAGGGGGACAUGAUGCUUAUGAUAUGCAAUGCAUAUGAAGAAUUUUGAAAAAUGGGAUGUUACAGAUUCAUUAUGUAGUAGUGACAUAGACGCAAAUCAUGAGAAUUUGUAAGCCUACUCAUCAAUCCAGAACCAUGUUAGCGAAAACGAUCAAUCCAAACACGAUUUCUAGGAUAAAGGAUUUUAAUUAACCGGGAUCAAUAAGAUCAGGGUUCGAAAUUCAGGGAUCAGAAGGUUAAGGUCCAAUUCAGAUUUUGUCUAGGAAGUCAGGGUUUAAAAUAGACUUUUCUUCAAAUUUAAGGGACGACCUUUCACAAAUCAACUUUGAACGUGCAUUAUGGAGUUACCUUUUUUUUUUUUGCAAAUUGGUACGUAACCGCUAAAUGUGUGUUGUGACUUGUGAUUCCUAGUCGACUCUAGUCUAGAUGGAAAGGAAACGGGCCGGCUGGGAGCCUGGGAAAACCAGAAACUGCAUCCGUGUUGUCGCGUGGUUGUUUGUUCCGACUCCCGAGCGGAUCGUAGCAGCAGUUGCGGCGCCGCAGGGGGUAUAUGUGCGUGUGAUCUGUGGGGGACGAAACCAACGAACUGCCGGCCGGAUCUAGCCAUGGCCGCCGCCGGAGCCGUUUCAGCGCGGCUCCGUCGCUCCACGCGGACACAAGACGACUACGAGGUGCUCGUCGCGGGGCGCACCGUCCUCGCCACCGUCACGGCGAGCCCAGCCGUCGCGCGCCGCUGGAUCUACACCACGCUCUGGCGGGGCCGCCAGCGCCUCAACUCCGGCAAGGGGCUCACCGUCGGCAUGGGCGUUCAGUGGACGCCUCCUUUCCUCGGCUCCUCCUCCGACGACGAAUCAGAGUCCUCUGACGAGGAAUCAGAGUCCGAGCCGCGGCCGGGCACGGUGCAGCUUUGCAGCGGGCAGCGCUGUCUGGUGUUCCAGAUCGCGCAGGCGGCCAAAUAUGCAGACGACGGUGCGACCCCCGCCGUGCUCCGGCGCUUCCUGGACGACCCGCGCGUGGCCUUCGUGGGCUUCGGGUCCGACUGCCGCAAGCUCGGCGCCCACCACGGGCUGGAGGUCAGGUGCACCAGGGAACUGCGCGCCGUGACCGGCAUGGGGAACACCUCCAUGGAGCGCAUGGCGGAGCGGCUCCUCGGGUCGGGCGGGGUGAAGAAGGCCAGGCGGGUCGGCGUCAGCAGGUGGGACGCCCGCGAGCUCUCCGAGGAGCAGGUCAAGUAACGCCUGCGUCGACGCCUACCUCUCCUACUGCCUCGGUGUCACGCCGGACUCGGACUCGGACGCGGAGUCGGGAUCGGACUCCGACUAGAGUCAUGUCUUGUUUUCUCAAUUUCAUAGUUACUUGUCGAUUGUGGACGAAAUAAAGGUGCCAAUUUGUGUAUAUGGCUAUUGUUAUUGUGAAAUUAGUGAAUUUGCUGAAUAUAUUCUAGUCUUAAUAGCAUUUUGAUAUCAUGAAUGCGAUUAUAGAUGUAAUGAUAUAAUGAUCGAAAGAUAUAUGACAUUUGUGAAUUUGAUAAAGGUUAUUUUGCGGAUUUUUGUUAUCCACAUUAGUAUACAUUAAAGUUUACUGGAAGGACAAAUGAAAGUUUAAUGGGUAUUGUUUUUUUUAUCAGACAGGAGGAAAUCAUGUUGAGAAAGAAAACUCAAAAUCGCCAUUAUCCAUCUGUUGAAUUCAAGUAAAUGUGAUCCGUUAAUUGUAUCGUGUUCACUUAGAAGUAUAUUGUUGAAUCUUCAAGUCAUUACAUGGUACUGUAGACAUGAUGAUUACUGUAGACAUAAAAAAGAAAAAUAAUUCAAUCCAUCUUAGAAGUAUAUUUUAUAUGACCCACGUAAUUUAUCAAAGUCUAAUAUUAAGUCGGUGGCAUGAUGAUUACUGUAGACAUAAAAAAGGAAAAAUAAUUGGAUUUAUGGGUCAAAUAUCCUCCUCUCCCUUCGAAAUAUAUAUAUGUGGGGUGUAUAUGCGAGUACUACUAAUCGUUUGCAUGUGGUUGCACGUAUAAUAUAAGAUUAAUGGCAGUUAAUUGCUUUGCAUGCGGUUGAUUUAAGGCUGUAAUGGCCGGGAAUUAAUCAAUUUAUUUGAUGCAUGGCAAUUAUGUGAGCGGUUGGUCUGCAUGCAAUUACCGAGCGCCCGUUUGCAUGCACAAUAUAUUAGUCACAUGCUAAUUACCCGCAUGCAUUUGCAGUUACGGUUGGGUUAUACACUGGGCAGUUUAACGUACACUGAAAAGAAAAGGCGCUUUUCAGAAUGUUUGUGUUGAUUCGUGUAUGUCGUGUCCUUUGGGAUGCAUACGUCCGGGGUUGAGUCGUUUGCACGGCCCUAUUUCCUUCCAAAUAUAGAGUCAUCUCUCUUCUCUCAUUUUAUUUCAAAAACUCGUCUUUCGUGGAGCGGCGAUGAGCAAGGUCAUGGGGGCAAAUGACUUGUAAACUGGAUGAAGGUGUGCAGGCCAAAGCAGCUUGCGGUUUAGGAAUUAAGAAUAUUCAGAUCGUUAGUCGUGCCUUGAGAUUGCGUUGGCCGUGAUUCGAAUGGAUCUCUCAGGACAGACCAUGGAUUGGCUCCAAAACUCCUUGCAAUGAAUGUGACUUGCAGCUUUUUGCUGCUUGCUCUUCUAUCUGUUGUGGGGAUGGAAAGAGGGCAGCUUUCUGGGCUGACAGGUGGUUACAGGGUGAAGCUCCAAUGGUGUUGCACCUGAUCUGUUCAAGCUCUCUAGAAUGAAACAAGCGACGGUGUCGGAUGCAACGAGGGAGAGGAGAUGGAUGAGAGGCUUUCACCGUAUAUCUUCGGUUCGGGAAAUUGGUCAGCUCGCCAGGCUCUGGGUUCAGUUGCGUUCGUUUCAGCUCACUUCAACGGCAGAUUCUAUCAAGUGGAAAAUUGGCGUCGGACGGUGCUUACUCGGCCAGUUCCGCGUAUGCAGCUCAUUUCCUUCAGGCGAUCCUGCAACGAACUCUCUGCAAAAUCUGGAUUGUUAAAGUGGCCGGUAAAAUUCAGUUCUUCAUGUGGCUACUUUUGCAAAACCGCAUAUGGACGGCAGACAUUCUCGUGGUUAGCCGCAUAAUGCUGCUUGCAGUAUGUGUGAUCAAUCCCAGGAGGGUGCGGCACAUCUCAUGCUUGGAUGCCCUAAUGCUUAGGAGAUUUGGCAUUCGUACUCUACACAGUGGCCAAGGAUGGCUCGUUUCGCAAUUGAGAGCUCUUCGCUGAGAACUUGGUGGCCAAAGCUGACUUCGGGGCCUCACAUCGUGAUCAAAAUCUAAAGAUGUGGCUUUGGCAGCUUAUGUCGUCUGGCACACAUGGAAGGAAAGAAACAACAGAGUUUUCAAGCAGGAGAUGACAGCUGUGGCGCUGUGUAUUUUGAUCGAUGAUCGGUUCAGCCUCCUUUUGGAGGCAAGGGAGCUGUAACUUUUUUUCCCUCCCUGUACAGCCGAACUGUUAGUUCUGUUUCGGAUUUCUUUCUGCUUCAGUGUUGUUACAUUGCAGUAAGUUGCUUUAUUACUUCUUCUAAUUGAAAAGGCAGUGAAACUGGCAAGAUUCCUCCAAAAAUGACGACAGACUAACGCCGUACCCGCACAAUGGCGCAGACAAUGCAAAUAUGACAAAUAUCUAUAAACUACAAUACGGCCGUGUAGUGUUCAACCUUUAUCUUGAACCCAGUGACUUAUUUAACGUGGGUUAACACGGAUCAGCAUUAACAGUCUUAUACUAAUACUCCCACUUUAAUAAACCAGAACGGAGGGAGCAUUUCAUAGGCUGGAAUGGAGAAACAUUACGUUCUCAGAGCCAAACCAGAAUGAUUCCCCAAAUGGGAUUAGGAGUUACAAUUAUGUUUCAUACACUUGACACGGUUUAAAAUAUCAAUUCAUACAGCAGAGUAUUAGUAUCACCCGCACACACGUUCAACUCCAACAUUAGCAAAUAAUGACAUGCCAGUAACGAAGAACAGUGUACUUAACAAAAGUAUAGUAAAAGUGCCACGUAACAGUAUCAUUCGACAAAACAGACUUCGACAAACAUGAAGCAGUUUGCUUCCAAACUUUAUUCAUACCACGCAACUCUGAUUCAUAUGAUGUCACCCAAACAAGCACCGCGUCCAAAUCAUUCACGGAGGCCUCAGCUUCCACUCCAGCACCAGAUCCAUCGACUCUCUCUCUCGGAAAGUCUGACUCUAAUUUGAAAUGACUACUAUGAUGCAUAUCCGAUUGCCCGGAAUCCAGAUUUCAAGUUCAUUAGGUCAAACCUUCAGUCUGAGCAGUUGUGGAUCUUUUCGUACAAAUCAUUAUCAUGAGACCAGAACAGAACAUCUUUCCCACUCCUGCUCUAGCCCAGAAGACCUGCCAAACCCUGUUAUUGAAAAAGCACACAUGAUAAGAGCGUCCACAACUGGCAUAACAAAAUUGUACUCCCUCCGUUCCAUAAUUCUUGUCAAAAUAUUACAUGUAUCACACUUUCUAGGAAUAGAUACAUCCAUUUUUGGGCAAAUUUGAGACAAGAAUUAUGGAACGGAGAAAGUAUAUCGCAUCACAUAUUAGUAAAGUUUAUUAAAUGUUUAAUUUGAGAAACAAACUCCUUAGAAAAUAUACUUCUAACCUAAAUAUUAGAUCUCAGCACCAAAAUAAUGAUUGCAAGGUAAAAUGGUGACUUACGCUCAGUUCAGAAAAUAAAGCAAACCAACAUGCACUUUGUGGCCAGCAAAGUGCACUUGGUAGAGCUUUCCAGUAAAGAUUGUAAUGAGCAAAUGAGUUGUAUAACUUCUAUGUGAAUAAUGAUGCGCAAUAAAGGAAGGAGAAACCAAUUGCAGAAAUAUGUAAUCAUGUUCAUGAAAGUAGUUGACCAAAUUGUUAUUAUCAACUGAAUAGCAUUUCCAGAAAACAAAUAUCGAACAUCUCAGUAAGCGUCUAGAUACAUGUAAUAUUUCAACAAGAAUUAUGGAUCGGAGGGAGCAGAUUACAAACUGCACCUAAUAGCAAGGAUUGAAAAAAGUAGCUAAAUCAGAUUAAAGUUUUCAAACUUUAUAUUCUACAGUAUUAUUUUUGAAACAUCAGCUGUUCAGUGACAAGAAAAAAGGUGAACAAAAGAACUGAGAGAAGCAAAUGAUGCAAGAGAAAGAACCGUUGAAAGGCCACCUCCAAGAAAUGUGUUAUGAACUUAUGAUCAGAGAAUAUAUAUAGAAUGUCUUGCAAGUUCACCAUCCAAUUCAAAAACUUACCAAAUUCUAAGGUCAGCACUUGAUAUGCUUCCAAGACAACCAUCCACCAAAAGAAACAUAACAUGAAAGUGCUGCACUUAUCAGGGCCAAAUUCAAGUGUCAAUCUCUGUCAUUUCCUCCAACAUGUUCUCUUCACGGCAACUCUGCCAACUCCUGUAAACGAGGCCAAAAUAUAUUCACAUUGGCAUUAACGAGAAAUUUCCAAAAAGAAUAAUGCGCUUCAGAUUCAGUCCAAAAGAAAAGUUUACCAGUAAUUAUCAUGGUACAAGCUAGAGUCACACAGGGUAACGGCCAGACCAUAUGGAUUGUGCUGGUUGUGAUUCUGCCAAUGGACCAUUAUUCUGAUGUCCUUGCGGAAAGCUAUGUUCUGGAAGUUGUUUUGUGGAUUCAAAAAGUUGGAAAUCAUGCCAUUGCUUCUCGUUGGUCUGUCCAGCAUACAUGCCAAAAGCUUGUUUCCCAGGAAAGGGGAAGGGUGUGGUCAAUGCACUGUUGCUAGUUGUAACAUUUGAAUGUGCAUGCCGCUGAUUGUUAACAAGAUCCAGUGAUGGACGGUAGCCAUUUAACCAGAUAUCAUCAGCCUGUACAUGAUGACCAUUCCCAACUGAAAUGAAAUCGUCUCGUCGCUUUGAGGGAACAUUGUUAAAUCCUGGAGGGGGGCCAACAUGUCUUCCGGGACGACUGACAGGACUUUUCCUUGAUAUAGCCACCUGUGUGUCCAUGAACUUUGUUGUUGUGCCAUCCAUAGAUGCUACUGAUGGCAAAACUGAAUCAAAAGCUGACGGGAUAGUAACUUCAGUAGACUUGAACUGGUUAAGAUUUGGAAUUGGGCCAUUCCAAGGAACACCAGCAGAUACAUGUGGAACAUUUCCCAUGUACUGUAAUCCGUUCAGGCCACCAUUUACUCUAUGAUCCAAAAACCCAUUUGCACCGAUGUUAACAUUCUUUAAAGCACUCAAUAAGAAUGAAUUUUGAGGGAGCAUAUGUGGAUUAUCUAGGCUGCUGAAACUAGGAACUGAUGAUGCAGGUGUAUAAUGAUCUGGAACGAUGCUGGGAAAGCUUGGCAUCGGGACUGCACUCUGAGGGGCAACAAGUGGUGCACCUGUGCUUACCCAGGUGGGAUCAGACAUAUUGAAAGGCUGACUUGAUCUUGGAGCAACGCUAGGAAUCAACUGUGGCCCACCAUUCACAGCCCAACCAAUAGAAGACAUUGGGAGAGACUGAACAUAUGUACUGGCAGUUGAAGCAGAUGUGGUGCUUUGAAGAGAUACUGGAGUACCAUUAUUUAACCAAUUAGCAUCAGAUGUCUGUACUGGCUGUAUGAAUUCAUUAGUUCCUAGUUCUGAAGGACCUCUGAGAGGUUUUUCAGAAACUGGAGGCUUAAACACAAUUUCUUCAUCAUCAUCUCCUUCAGCACACAGUUGAGCCUUUGUCUGAACUACAUCGAGUUUUUCUGCAACUGAACCAACAUUACUUGUGACUUGAUGUUCAUAUUCAGUAGGAUUUGUUUCAUCUGCAUGACUGGAUCCAGAUUGAGCAAGAGGAGCUUUAGAAACAGGUGGUUCAGUAGACAUAAGGAACUUUUUUGAAGUUGGCUCAAAGUAUAUUCGCAGUUGAUCAAUUUGAACAAAACUCAUCAAUGCUUUCCCUGCAGCAAGAAUCCUUUGUACACGUGCCUGUUUCUCCUUGGUGCUUCCAUCAGCUCCAGAUGCGUGCUUGUUUGAGAAAUCCAAGAUAACUUGUGCAGGUGCCAACGGCAAAAAUCCUCUCAACUCAACAUCCUCCCACAAUGCAAUCCUGUUGCCAGUCUCACCCUCCUCGUAUGUGCACAUAUCAGAAAAGCAUGUCUCAUCAUCAUCACCGUCAACACGUGCAAGACCUGUCAAAAUGAGCUUAUUCAUAAAAGCCACGCACUGAUUCCAGAAGAAAGUUCUUGCAUCAGCCUGCUUUUGCUCCAUCUCAGAACUAGAAACAUAAUCUGGAUGGCAUGCCAGCCAUUCAAUGAAGACCAGAAUGGCUGGCAGGUAAGUACUCGAGGAAACAUCAUGAAGCUCUAAGCACCUUUUCAGAAGGUAUCCAACAAACUCAAAGGUAGUUGAAUAAGCAUUUUGAAGUAGCACUCUCCGUUUUGCAGUUUCCGCAUAUGAUGGGUUCUCUGAGUCUUUGUUCACAUUGUACACCGUAAAAACAAGGAUAGCAAUAAGCUUUACAAAAGAUAGUGCAUUUUCAACAGCAUCCGAACCAAAAUUGAGCUCCUCGACAGGACCAGAUGAAAGAAGAAUCUGUAAAUCACUGGCAACUGUAGCAGAGAGCUCCCCAAAAGUUUCCAGGCUAUGAGUAGAAGAAUAGAAGUGUUAGAGAGAGAGGGAGAGAGAGCGAGAGGAUAACAUGGGUGCAUAGUAAAUUCUUGCUAAGUACCUUGUCUUUGUGAAAAGUAUCCCAUUGAGGCGAACAAACCGAACAAAGAAAGAUUGAAGUAUGUCCGGAAUGCUGUAUUCUUGCUCCUUCGAAGUUACUUCUGUAUUAGCACCUUUUGGCUGAAUUCUUGUAUCAGCCCUUCCUCUGCCCCUUCCAACUGAUCUGGAGGGUAAUGCCCUAGCAGCCGCAACCUUAUUCUUACUAUGUAGCUGAGCAUAGCUUUGACGAUUCUGCGUACAAAGCCAUAAGAAUAUGAAGCUGUUGCAAAGCAUAGAUCAGCACAACAAAGAAUUGUAUAUUAAAAUAAACUACAAACAUUACUGUAUAUUGCUCCUUCUCAUAUCAUGUGCAGUAAAUGCUAGAAAGCAUCGAUUACCAACAAUCAAAUGAAAAAAGUUAUAGCCAAAAGAUGAAAGAAAAGGUUAUUCUUACAACCCAGUAGGUAACACCGGAAUAGUAGAACAUACAGUAUGGAAUAAAAUUAAAACCCCACAACUAAAACUGAUAGAAUAAACAUCCCACCAACAGAACUAUGUAAUAUCUUUUAAAUAGCAGAGGCAGCUUUGCAAAUUUCUGGGACAUAUAUUAAUUAAACAAUAGAAUGCACCAAGAUCUGCUUCAUUCUAGAAUGAAAACAUCACACAGUAUCAUCCAAAUGGAUGGCAAAGGGGAUAUGUAAAUUCGACGGCAAAAUAUAACACAAAAGCAAGCAUAUGACUGAAAUAUAAAUGUUGCAUCAAUAACAUGAAGAUGUCACCAUACCUUCUCAAAUGCGAUAAUCAAGUUUUCCCUCGCUGUAGAGAAGGGACUAUCCAUCGCUAGGCUACGGAAGUACCUAUAGAUAGCCGUUACCUCAUCACCAGAGUAGGAUGCUAAUAUUGCAAGCUGAAAAAGAUGACAGAAAUUCUUCAUUAGUACAGUAACCAUUUGAGAAAAUGUGUGUGUAAGAUGAUGUUGCUGCACAAUAUAGCCAGAUCCACAUACCUGAUGAUGUGGGUUUCCAUUAGAAGGGCACAGUGAAGCUGCCUCUUUGUAGUAACUUGAAGCUGCAGAAUAUUCACGGCUCGCGGAAUCAGCAUCUCCAUACAGACCCUUGUAACGGGCAAGAUCGCCUAAAUAUAUCAGACAGCGAUAGCAUGACAUUAGGCCUUUCUUCAUGUCAAUUAUUUUCUUCUUGUCUUUUCCAGGAACUACCGAAGUAUCAAGGCCCUCAGGGAAGUAGCCUAACGGAAGACCAUGAUUCGACCGGAUUUUCAGCAUCAAGUCAUGAUAGAAACCAGUGGCUUCCGACAGGAAACUCCUAAAAGUAGAUUUGAUCCUCUUGACUCGAUCAGGGUUGACAUUGUUCUUCCCACCCUGCACUGCAGCCGAACUGGAGGCUGCAGCAGAGUUAAUGUGACCACGGAAUUCCUCAAUUCUUUUGUAGUGCAACUGCCACAGGUGAUACUCUAUCUCGUGAUUUUCAGAAAAUUCUGGAUCUGCAAGGAUUAUCUUUUCAUAGUUCUCACGCAUCUGAAGCCAUAUGCUGGGAUCUGAUGGGAUUUUUGACUGAGCUGCCCUUCGAAGACGGCUAUCAUGUUCAGCAUUCUGCACAAAUAAACAUCCUUAUCACCACCAAUAGGCAUACAGAAUUGUUUGAAUCAAUUUUAGAAACAGAAGGAAUGCCAUGUAAAAGCUCAAAAGGAGAUUCUCCUCAUAGUUCAACAAAGAUGGACAUUCCAAUCUGAGUUCUCAGUGAGCAAGGACAUCGACAUAUCAAAAUCAUAACAAUGCAUAAGCGCUGCAACUAACCUUAAAAAAUGGUUAUCUACAUCGCACAUAGAAAAUAGCAUGCAUUCAACUUCAAGUGUAAUAAAGUACCAUUCAGAGCCUUGUUAUUUUGUGCAGCCAAGUACAUUUUGAGUUGGUAUCUCUUGAUUCACUAACAUGAUAGCAGUCACAAACUUGUUGGCGUUAUCAAACACCAGUACAUCACGAACAUAAAUAUUAAGUUUGCACGCCAGUACAGAAACUUUACUCACUUACCAGAAUAGGUAACAUUAAAUGUGGUAAAACCAUUGAACGCACUAACAAACAAUAAUUGAUAUAAUUAAAAUGCUUAGGAAGAAAACCAAAGCCAAUUCCAACUAUUCACGCAACAUUCAUAUAGGAAGAAACCUCUAAGCAUGUAGACAAGUAAAUUGGGUAUGUACUUCACUGUGCAAACUUACCAGAAUGAGUAACUUCGAAUGUAAAGGAAACCGUAAAACAAUGCUUAACAGGACAUUCAAAUAAAAAAAAAGCUGCUUAGGAAGAAAACCAAAGCCAACCACUCCCACGACUUACCUAUAUGAAGAAACCUAUAAGCACUUAACAAGUAAACUGGAUAUCCGCACAGUUCCAGAAUAAGUAAAUUACUGGUUCGACAAUUGGAUUACGAUUACAGAAAACGUUACAGGUUUAAAUGAUUAAUGACUUAGGCUAACAGUCCAGCACAAGGCACCAUUUACACAGUCAACUGAUCAAAUUGAAAGCUGCCUAACAUCACAAGAACAAAUGCAGUGAAAAGAACAAUGUAAAAACAGGAAUAGCCCCACUAUACGACCAGACAGGAAACAAUCAACGGUUGUUAUUUAACAUUGUCAGAACAAUGCAGACUGAACAAGCAGAAAGAACAGACCUUCUUUAAAAGACGCUGUGCAAGCUCCCUCGGUGACAAGGAAGCAGUAGCUUUAUCCAUCGGGACAGCCAUCAUCCAUCAAGAAAGCAUCAGUUUAGAUCGCUGCAAAAGGGAGAUAAGAGUUGCAUGUCAACAACAACUAACAGACAUAAGGAAGCCCACAGGGCACCAAGGAAUAAACCAGUCUCUGCGAUGCAUCACGCAAAACAAAAUACCCUUACAUGGAAGAAAAUCUAGCCAGACCAGCAAGCAUCACCAUACUUGACCAGUUGCAAGCAAAAGAAAUUACCCCUUACAUGGAAUUAAAUUCUAGCCAGGCCAGCAAUCAUCAGCUAUGCUUUGCAAGUGGCGAGAAAAAUUUACAAACACAUGGAAAAGAAACUAGCCUGGCCAGCAAGCAACAGCCACGCUUGGCCAGCAGGAUAAGCUUUUCCCGGGAUCGUAAAACCCCAACCACUCGCUAGACUAACCACCUAGCACGAACAACAACCCAGACCGUAACCCAAUCUCCCUAGAAACCCUAGAACGCAUACCAGUAUCCACCCACCAACGGCGUGGCGCGCCACCGCCAAGGCGGGGUGAUGACGUGAAACCCUAGGCAGAACUCGGGCCUCCGUAUCGGAAGCCCACGCCAACCAAAUUAAGAAGUGAUGCACAGGAACAGAAAUAAACAGGCGCAACGGAGAUCACGCGAAACCCUAGGCAGAACUCACGCCUGCGGAUCUCCGCAGCCACAUCCGCCGAAUCGAGGAGCGGGUGCACGAGAAGAAAAAUAAACAGCGGGGGAAGAUCCCUACGAGGCCGACCGAAUCGAGGACGAGAAGCGCCGCCGAAUUGGAUGAACCCGGCGGCCGAUUCGCGAAGGAUUGGGGCUUGGGGAAGGGGAGGGGGAGAAGAGAAGGACCGUAGCGUACCUGGUCGAGGAGCGGAAUUGAGGUUGCGGGGGGGAGGCGAAGGAAGGGCCGAAGGGGUGAUUCGUUUUAGGUGUCGCGUCGUCGCCGUGUUGGGGUUGGCUAGUCCUUCGCCGUCAAAACUCGCACAAGGGAAGGGAAGGGAAGGGAAGGAGACUGCCAAGGAGGGGUGACUCUUUUUAAAGUCAAAAAGAAAGGCUUUCUGCGCGUGUCGACGCGUUCUUUCAGACGUGUUCUAUCGCCGUAGUCGGUUUGUGAGAUCAGAUGAAUGUAGGCAUUCGGUUAAAUCCAGCGAGGCAUAAACUUUAAGCUCAUUUUUAUCUAUAGGAUUCUCAAAAUACACAGGAAUAGAAAAACAAUACAGGAUCAAAGUGUCGUACCGUUUUGAAUACGGUAGAAUCCAACUUUAUGGAUCAUAUAUGUAAGAAAAAAUCCAAAGGAUUACAAUCCUCAAAAAACUCUUUGAAAAUCAUUUAAUCAAAGAGGCCCUAGGGAUUUAUUUGGUUUGUAGGAUUGCAAAACUUAGGAAUAGAAAAUAUCAUAAAGUAGGCAAAAAAUAUGUAAAACAAAAGAUUGGAAAACAGAGGAUUACAAAAAAGAGGAAUCCAAAAAUGAGGUCUGAGUGGAUGGUAAAAUUCCGAUGCUUUUCGAGAAGCAACAAGGUAAAUUUUCCUCUACUUCUCCUGGGAUCCAUUCCUAUGAACCAAAUGCACAAACACUACCAUCAAAGGAAAAUAAAACAUAUUCCCAAAGUCUUUCUCCAAUUCUUCUAUGUAACAAAGAGACCCUAAGGGUGUGUUCAGUUCCUAGGUGGUCUUAACCUGCAUCGCAUCUAAGAUCCUAUCGAAUUUGGUGCAAACAUUAGUAUUCGAUAGGACUUUGGUUAAUAUCGAAUACAAAAAAAUUUGGAUCUCUCUCAACCAAAGUCCGAACCAUGACAUGAACUCCAUAAACAAACAAACACAAAUCCGAACCAAAUAUCACAUCCAAAUCAUUUCAGAUCUAAAAUUUCGAACCAGAUAAAACUUGAAGAUCUGGUGAUGACGGGGAAGAGAUCGGGGCAAGGGGGGAUCAGGGAGACAGCGGCAAUGAUCGAUGGUCAGUUUGGCCCUCGUCGCCCACCUCCCGCACCGGCGGUGGCGGUGAUGCCCUUUCCAACUGCCUCUUGCACCCGCGAAGAGGAGAAGUUGAAGAUGAGAAGGGGUUUGACGAACAAACAAAGAAUUCAAACAAAAAAACACAUCCAAAUCAUUUCAGAUCUGGAAAUCUGAACCAAAAUCAUGAAGAUCCGCCAAUGGCGAGGAAUAGAUUGGGACAAUGAGUAGGAGAUCAAGGAGACGGUGGCAACUUUUGACAGCCACGCCGGACCUCGUCGCCCCCUUCCCACACCGGCACCGGUGGUGAUGGCCCUCGCCGACCGCCUCCCAUGUCUGCAACGAGGAGAUCUGGAGGCGGCGGCAUCAUUCGACGACCGAGAUGGCCUCUUCGCAUGCUUCCCGCACCGGUGACGACGCGCUAGCCCUCACAAACCGCCUCUUGCAUCCGUGAUAAGGAGAAGUCAAGGAUGAGAAGGGGUUUGAUAGCGAGCUCAGGAACGACGAAGUCGUCCGAUGGCGAGUUCGGGGACGACCGCGCCCUAGGUAGGUGGUGGUGGAUUUGGGAACCAACAGGGGAAAGAAACAGGCGAUACAAAUAGCGUUGGACUAGGGCUACCUGAGCAGAAACGCCCAAUUCUCGUGUUUUUGCUCGGUCUGGUUUGGGCUUAUUUUUUGCAUCAUUUGGGCCAGGCUACAACACUAGUGCAGGGACACGGAGAAUGUUGCAUCCCAGGUGCCAUACACAUGCGACCUAGUGAACCAAACACACCCUAAAGGUAUUUUUGGUGGCCACCACGCUAACCCUAGAUCAUAUCCACUGCUACGACAUCACCUACGCAUACGUAUUUUGUCUCUGGUGAACAUUCAUGAUUUUCAACCACCCGCCAUGUUCUGUUUUAUAAUGUCUUGUUUAUAAUAAAUCCAAAGAGCGUGUAUAAACGGUUUAAGCGUUCCUCAAUUAACCAACAACUUCUGAAAGUGGAUUGAGAAAGAUAGGUCUAGCUACCAUCGUGCUAGCCGUUCUUGAACAUAUUAGGAAAUGAUUUGGUAGUGCCAUGUGAUCCCAAACAGGAAAAACCUCUUAGUGCUAGAAUUUUUCUCGUAUUCGAGCAGUCAAGUGGGUGAAAGCACACAAGUGGAAUGAAGGUCCACAUGUCUUGAAAUCCAUUUUCCUAUUUGUAUUUGAGCCAAGGGUACGUGAACCAACUUAAUUUUACUAGAAAAACAAUGGUAUGUGACCCAACAUUUGCGUAUUAUGGGUUGGACUACUUUCCAAGUAGUUUUGCCCUUUUGACACAAGGUUCGGAUUCAUAUGUAUAAUAUACUAGAAUUGUGGUUGCACAACUAUGUAUUGGUAUAUGCAACCCUUUUAGGAAUUGUUUGAUGAGGAAGACGUAAGACGAACAGAAUGGAGCAGGUUGAGAAAGAAAAUGAAAAAAAAAAAUGCAAUGCCAAAUGAGAGGAUGGCGCGAGAGUUGCCAAUAGGCCUACAUAGAGAUAGAAAAUAAGGAAGACAAGGUGUUUUUCUUUUUAUGACCAUGAUUCAAUAUUUUUUGUACCAUAUUUGUUUUUCGCAUAGCAACGCACGUGUUGCUAGCUACAUCAUUCAGAGAACGUGUAUAACAAUUUAAGUGUUGUCUCGGUUACCGGCAAAAGAAAAAGCGUUGUCUCGGCUGCUAGCGGAUUCCAAAGUGGGGUGGGGAAGACAGCUAUAAUCGCCAGUGUGCUUGCGUCUCACGAAUUGAUUGGGAAGGUGAUUUGGCGCAGCAAAUGUUUCUAAAUGGGAUAAACAUUAAACCUAACCGAAGGUCUCCACGGACCUUAAAUCCACUUUCCUAUUUGUAUUUGGGCCAGCUACUUUGUGGUAGAAAAAUAGAACAUACUCUACUUGGUUUUACUAGAACAACGACGGUUGGUAACAACUUUUUAUGUAUUAAUCGAAACCAUAUCACUUCAUCAAUUCAACAACAUCCUUUUUUUUAGAGAAGUUGUCUCUUUUUAUAGUACAUCAUUUUAUCGCACAUGUCUUAGGUUUUAUCAUUUUUAAACGCAAUUUACAUCUUUUCAUUAGUUUUAGUUAAAACCUGCAACAGCGCGCCGGCAUUAUCACUGCAGCAACGGGCAUCAUCUAGUAUAAAAAAGGUGGCGUUGCCUGUAUGUUUUAUCCGUACCAUUCCGAGUAAACUUUCCGCCAAAUACCAAAAUUUCAGCGAGCAAUCCCUCUGCUGUGGAGCAAUCCCUCUCCUACACAGGCCCUCAGGAUAAAAGUGGUUGCUAAAGGUUCUGAAUAUCCCUGGACAGUGGACAGCCACGAUUCUAGUGUCAACAUGCAAGAUCCGCGGAAAAGGUACUUCAACUGAACUAUGUACGUGCACGCAAAUUUACAGCGGGUGUACGCAAACAAACGCAGCAGAACUAAUAUACACUUUGAACACAGCUCACCCAGCAGAAAGACCAUCAAACAGAGGCCAGUCUAUCAGGUGGAGAUGAAACCAUGAGACAGCCUCUCUAUCUUCGACUUCAGCAUGCCAAGGAUGCAGAAGCCAUUUCUCUCUGACGCUGGGUUGCCUUCCGGCAGCCCUGGAGACAGGAGCUCAUCCUUCACCUGGAAGGGCAGGGGCUCAAGCUCCCUCCGGACAGACUCAACGGCGUUCAUGUCAAUCUUGUUGCCUGAUAUGUCCUUGACAUAGAAUGUGUUCUUCGUCACAUCCCCGUCCAUUGCGAUGUCUGCCCGGGUUACGGUUAACCCGCUCUCUCGGAGUACCCGAGUGAUGUGUGAGAGGAAACCAACAUUUUUCUUCUCUGUGCAUAGCUCGAGCUUCACACCCUAAAAGCAUUCAUAGGAAUAGUCAGAUGGGAAUCAGAAAAUGCAAUAACAUCGGGACGAACAUAACGAGUAAUGAAAAAAGGAAUGUAAAGAGUUAAUAUUUGGAAUGGAGGGAUGUCACAGAAACAAUUUCAUUCCCCGCAGUAAUAGACUGCUGCUUAUUGCAAUCAAACUGCCUUGAUUUUUUAAUAGAAAGAUUUAACAACAAUGCACAUAUUACAUGGUCACAGUGUCUGUGUGCAUGCAUUCGAUGCAGAGGCCAGAAGGCGAUAAAGCUUUUUCCUCAUCUAGAAAAGCAAUUUACAUAGUCACAGCUUGUUGCAGAGUUUACCCACGUCACUAAGGAGCAUGGCAUUGAACUAGAGACAGGUACAGCCGGACCUGCUGUUUUGAGAUCUUAGCCUAAUUAUGAUAACAGGAAUCCAAAUCAUAUAGGUUAAACAGUCUACCUAGGUCCAGCAGAAGAUUACUGCAUUGAACUAACGCUGCCAGAAUUACAUUAUUGAAAUUCUGGUUUUACUACAACUAAAGGAAAUGGAAUUUCUGAUUGAUAUGACAAGAGAUAAUGAAUCAUAGGUGCAUGUGUGUUAACUUACCUCACAAGUUCGACGCUCAACCGCAGCCUUCAAGCCUUUCACCACUAGGCAUUUUUCAUCUGCUGUGUCUAGCAUAUGUCCAUCCUUGUGCCUGAUGUAGUACUCCUACACAAGCGAGUCCUAAGUUUGUGUCCCCUUUUCAUCUAUAGUUGCAGGUAUUUGCAAUACAACAUAUACAUAUUCCUAAUAAAACAGGACAAGAUGAAGUUACCUGACAGGCAAAAGGCCCCUGGGAAGAAACUGAGGCAUGGAAGACAUUAAAUUGCAUGUCUGUAAGGGUGCACACGGUAUCAAACAUCAAUUUCGGACGGUCCACACAUUCCACAUUUACAACUGAAUAUCCUUUCUCAUUGCAUCGAUCAAGAGAGACCACCGUACUCUUGUCUUUUUUAUAACCAUCCAAACUAAGCAUCGGGAAGGCAGUAGAUACCUGUCCUGGUUGUCCAUCAAAAUCUCUACUAGCAAACAUUAGCUGGUGCAACCGACGCUCAGGAUGACUUGUGAGGCCAUCAACCCCAAGAAGAUGAGCCCUUGCGCUACGCUGAUCAUCAUCCAUUGAUGUACCAGAUCGAAGGACAGUUCCAAGAUGGUCCUCAAUAGUGGCCAAGCGGUUUCGAUCAUUGAUGGGGGACGAUGUUGAUUCAUCAGACACAAAUGCAACACAGGCUAAGCUGUCCUUAUGGCUCCAAGCAUGUGCUUCUAUAACAUUGCACCCUUCCUCAGCAAGAACAGCAGAUAUCUCAGAGAAAAUUCCAGGCCGGUUGUGGCCAAUCAUCUCAAUUUCUGUAUAGUGUGCAGCAACAUCAGGUCUAGAGGCAAACUCAUUGGAUCCUCUCACUGUGAACCUCCGAGCCUCCCUAGUACAUAUUGCCUACAAAUAUGGAAGGCACUAAAUCACCGAUCUUCAGACUUUCCCCACGUUUAACAGACAGUUAGAGAGAGAGAGAGAGACCUGCUCUAUGUAGCUUAUGGCCUUCUUAUUGUAAACCUUGCUCCCUUCCUGGUCUUUCACAUGGAAAACUGCAAUCAGGUGGGCAAAGACGGAGAAUGAUCAGUUUAAAAGUUCCAUGGUUACAUGGCUUAAUAUCUUACUUGCGUGCCUCACAGAAUCGCAUAACUAGGUAUUCCCACAAAUAAGAAAAAAGAAGUAAAAAAAAGGAAAACUCAGAUAGCAAGUAAGCCUGCAGUUUCGAGGGGCAUUUCAGCAAAAAAGAAUGUUUACCAUGUAAGAAACACCUAGAAACAUUCACUCGAGAAUUCUGAAUUGGGACUUUUUUUAAAUAUAAUAAUAUCCUACAACGCGGGAAAGGUCAUGGGUGGAAGUGGAAUCAGAGGAAAGAUACUUUGGAAAAUAAUCUUUCAUUAGCCACACUUACCUUUGAGGUUUUGAUGUAAGAUUGGCAACUUCAGCGUUCAUGUACGGAUAACUAUGUGGUACAUUUUGGCAAAAACAAAAUGUGGUUCCAUAUAUACAAAUAAACAGUGCCCAGAUAUCCAGAACUCCAGAACGAAGCCAGUUUCGAGAUACUACUGUUUUUUCAAGAAAAACUGUAGGAGAGGUUCUGACAGUAUAUAAUAUUAAAAUAUAAAACAAAUACAAAGAGAGAUUACAGAGGGGCACAGGGGAAGCUACACUGUUCUAGUGUUAUUUUUUUGAAAGAGCUACCACUAUUACCUAGCAGGCACAACCUUAUUUUUUACUCUUUGAAUAUAUAGACAUUGUAUUAGCGUGCUCUUCAGUGGAGAAUGCAUAUUCAACCAUCUGAGUUACAUCUAAACAGGUAUCACCUAUUAGUUUAACAUAUCAUUCCAAUUCGUAGUUUCUAUCCUCUGAAACCAUAUUGGUACAUCAGUUCAGGUACCUUAUAAUGUGAAAGGAGAAUCCUAUUACAUCAAGAUCCAAUAGUAUAUAUCAAUGUUCAUUUUCAACUAAUAAACAUGAAAAAAAAUGAGCAUGUAGCUUUUUACCAUAAAACUACUACAGUUGGAUUUUCCUUCAGGGCAUACCAUCCAGAGACCAUCCACCAUCAGAUGAUACAUAGCAUUUGGUGAUAGACAGUUCCAAGUCAAUUAAAACUUCCAGAACUUCGAGCAGAAGGUCCUGUUUAUUGCGACUAUUCACCUAUAAUGUAAACAACAUUCAGUAACUCAGAGGGGGUCCUCUGGAAUAAAAACAUAUUCAUGGCAAUAACAUAAAAGUACUUAUUUGAGAGGAAAGUGACUUCAGUACUUACUUUCACAACAGUACAUCUGCCACACGAUUCGUUAUCCACAUGAACCCUGGAGAAUAAUGAGUAAAUUAGAUCACAUCACAUGCUAAAGCAUUACAAAAUGAUUUUUUCGCUAAAAAAUAUUUCACUAAAACAACUGAUUGUCAGUGUACCUUGUCCCAUAGAUCCUCUCAUUGAGGUUCUCAUAAUCUGGAUCAAAGUAAGCACAGCAGACCUCCAUUCUCCUCAUUUAGUGAAUUAAGUUUACAGGCAGAGAAUGACCUGAAUUUAUUACAGAUGCACAUGAAUCAGAGGUAAAUAAAAAAGAGAAAAGUCUAUCUUCAACCCUGAUCUUGUAGACAAAGUCUGAAUUAGACCCCAACCUUUUAAUCCCUGAAUUUCGAACCCUAACUUUAGCGAUCCCGGUUAAUUAAAAUCUUUAAUCCCAUAUGUCGUGUUUGGCGGACCGGUUUAAUUGACUGGGUCCGGGAUUGCUAAGCAAGAUGAUUGAGAUAGUCCCAAGACGGCUUUGCGGAUCUUCUGUACUUUCGGGUCCAUAGUAUCUGGCCAUGUCUACUACAUUAUGUUCACUGUAGGUAUAUACUUUGACCAUAGCUUGCAUAAAGCCAUGAACUAAAGUCUAAAGUUACGUGCUAGGUUUUAGUUGACAACUAAAUGAUCAUCGAGUAGCAGUGGUGUCUUGAUCUAGUACACACGCCUGCACAUGGCGUACAUCAAUCAUGCAUGAUUUUCGUGUACUGAAGCACUGUACACGUAGAUGAAAAACAAUUGGCCAGGAUAAGAACCUCGUUAGUUAUAUCCUAAGCGUAGUCAAAAUUGGCAAAAAUAAUAAUAAUAAUAGAAAAAUAGGAGAUAAGAAAGAACCUCACUCAGGGAUCAGCUUUUCUGCUUACAGCAAUCCCAGGCCACGUCAGCAAACCAGUCUGCCAAACAGGAUUUUCAGGAUUAAGGGGGUAUUUGACCGGGAUCAGCAAGGUUAGGGUCCGAAGUUCAGGGAUUAAAAGGUUAGGGUCUAAUUCAGACUUUGUGUACAAGAUCAGGGUUGAAAAUAGACUUUUCUCAAUUAAAAAUUGCAGCUGUUAAUAACAAGCAGAUCUAACAAGAACUCCCAUCAGUGCAAAGCUACAACUUUGUUUCAACCUAACACACGAUGCAGAUGUCGAAUUCAAGAAAAUACCACACAAUACGUUACCGCAUAAAGUCAAAAACACGUUUAAUGUAUAUACUACAUGAUACAACAAAUACUGAAACGGUAGAUGCAGACUGUACAAUGCAAUCAAGACUAGAAAAAAAUAUUCCAAUAAUUUACAAUAUGGAGGGUAGAAAAAUUAAAAAUUAUUCCAAUAAUUUACAAUAAGGAGGGUAGAAAAGUUAUAAAGCAAUAUUCUUCGAGAGAGAAAAAUAGGUCUUAUUAGGUCAUUUUAAUCGGCAAAUGAACUUUAAACUAGCCAGGAUGAAGAGAUUUGAUGAAAUAACAUUGUUCACAAGAAGUUCCUCAAUUUUUUUUUAUCAGUUUCAACUUUCAAGGCAUUUAGCUAGGGAAGUGAAAACUAGUACUCCCUCCGUCCCAUAUUUUAAGUGACUCAAAUUUGGCCAAAUAUGGAUGUAUCUAUACCCAAAAAGCGUCUAGAUACAUGUAAUAUUUCGUCACUUAAUAUGGGACGGAGGGAGCAUAUGAAUUACUGUUCGUUAGCACCAUGCUUAUCAGUUGUGGAACCCCUGAAACAGUGGUCUAAUACAUCGAACUUUUAACUUGUCGUAGAGGGCUUGAGGCCGAGAGGAACCCUUUGUGUUCGGCUGCACCAUCCUGAUGCAACAGCAAGGAAAUAAAAUCUUCCAUUAUCUAAACCAGUUAACUUGUAUCUCUCUAAAAAAAAAACCAGUUAACUUGUCGUGUAGAUACUAUCUUAACAGAUUUGCUAUUUCGAUACCAUAUCCAGCAGCGUUUCGUCGUGGGCUCUAAAUUAAAUCAGAACAUUUCUGGCUCAGCCAGAAACCUAUUGUCAGAUACCCAGAUACAAAUCGGGUCUGAAACAAACUGAAACAUAGACGUCGAACAUCCUCAAGUUUACAUUUGUAACAUAAAAACAAUGGCGUUCGAUUUCUGUGUGUAAAUCACCACGAAUGAAAUGAAAAUGAAAAAAGAAAAGAAAAACAUGCUUGCUGCAUCGAUCCACAACAUGCCCAUUGAUCUCCUAGAUGAGUUUCUCAAACACCACCAAAACAAAAACAGCCUGGUAAAAUUCCUCAAUCAAAAUGCAAUCCACCAACAGUAACCAAACAUAAGGUGGGCACAAAACAAAAUGCAGGGAGAUCUGCCACCGUACCAAGGCGAAACGGGGAAGCGGCUGGGCUGGGGAAGAAGAGGAAGAACGAGAGGUGGUUCCUCUUGCCCAGCGUUUCCUAGUGUAGGACUUUCGGCGCGCAACAAGUGCAGGAAUAGAGCGUCUCCUCGUUUGAUCCGUGCGUGAAAACGAGAGGCUCGUGGGGGGAGGUGUGGUACUGUGGCGUCGUGGGGGGAGGGGGGGGGGGGGGGGCGACUGGCGGCGGCGGGAGAGAGAGCGUGUUUAUGGAUGCGGCGACGCAGGGGCGUGUGCAGAGAGCGCCGCAGCUGUUCAACCCCGAUCCGCACGGGUUCAGCCUCCCUGCGACACGUGUGGGGUGGGUGCCCUCUAGGCCUCUAGAACUUUGCCCUGCUGUUCCUCAAAUUCAGGGAAUCGCCGCGUCACCUUUCGAGUGCUAAAGGUUUUGGUUGGUCGGUGCCUGGUACAUUUUUCUAUUUUCGCGUGCAGGUCGUUUGGCACCCCAUAUUAGAAUCGGAGGCCUCUUAGAAUUGUGAAAUUAUUUUGAAUUAUAAAAACUAAUUUACUUAGUUGUCACGGAAUUGGCUACAUGAAUUCAAUUUGUAAUUUCAUGAAAUCACAUUACAAUUAACUUCAAUUUCUCUCUAAAAGUCAUCAUUUAUCUGGAAUUAUGUCCCCCUCUACAAAUACAUGUGUUAGAAAACAUGAUUUUUUACCCUAAUUCAAAUUCAAGCAAAUGAAAUUCUAUCAAAAUUUUGAUUCAUUUCAUUUCUACCACUGAAAUGAAAAGAUGGGUGCCAAACGAGCUGGUAUAGAAAUUGUUGACCAACAAUUACACUAGUAUAUUAAAUUACUCCAUCUGUUCCAUAAUAUAACGUGUGCACACGUUUCGAGAUUUUGCUUUGACCAUCAAUUAGACCAACAAAUAAUGAAUUAUGUAUUAUAAAAAUGACUCCCUCCUUCCCAUUUCAAACGUCUUUCGGAUAUGAAUCUAGUGGUAUGAUUUUUAUAACAUAUAAUUCCCAUUUUGUUGGUGUAAUUGAUGGUGAAAGUUAAACCUCAAAAUGCGUGGGCACGCUAUAUUAUGGAACAGAGGGAGUAUUUGUUAUAAAAAAAAUUAUCGUCAAAAUGUUUUUCAGAUACAAAUCGAAUGAUUUUUUUUUGUAGCAUGUACUCUUUUCGUUCGGGAUUUAGAAGGCUUAUUUAAGAUAAAAUAUUGUUGUUGUUCUAAAAAAACAAGAGUAAGGAGUGCCAAUGCUCGAUGGCACAAGUGCGAGAAUAGUAUGUGGGGGUGUACGCCGGCCUUACAGUGAAGGUCGCCGUACACUUGGACAAGUUGACACGUCGAUAUUUUUUGAAUAGGUUCAGUCGACCCUGCCAGCAUGACUUAGUCCUAUGUUAGGAGAGGCUUCGAGGGGGUCAUUAGUCAGGUGCUUGGGCCGAACUCGUCUUCCCAGGUCACCUAUGGCGAGAGAUCUUUCGAGGCCGCCUCGGACUUGGGCCGAACUUGUUUUCCCAAGUAGCGAGGUUGGAUACCCUCGAGACUCUAACCCGAUCCUUCUACUUCGAGUCGAGAACGUACUAGACGGCCCAAAACCUCGAAACUAGGCUUCUCAAGUCGCGUCCCCGAGGUCGAGUCGAGUCUAGGCUCGACCCAAGCAUUCGAGAGUGGGCUCCUUAGGUUGCUCUAGCCCUCUCCCCUUUGAUCUUAUUCAAGUUGAGAGUCAAUGAUACAUGCCCCCAUGGAGGGAUAUUUAUAGCCUAGGGGUCCAUAACAAAAGAACAUGGAUACCUUUGAAAGAGAGAGAAAAGUGAUGGCAAACUUGUAAAAAGUGAUCCUUAGUCCAUAGCUUUUGUGUGCACCAAGUGGGAAAAAUAGGGGUUGGUCCAUGUUCCAUCAUGGACCAAAAACCUCAUCCCUACACCUUUCUUGGCCCCUACUCAAUACUAAGCUCCUCUUCUGUUUUGACCAUGGUAUGAGAGGCUUGACUUGUUGACUCCUUUGACCGGCGUCUAGUUAGCAUGGCUACGCCUUGUUGGCAAAUUAAUCGGUAUUUGGGAUUUGUUGAAUUGGUCGUCACCACGUAGGAUUAUGGCCCGGCCCAUGUAAGAAUUUUAUUAUAUUACAACAAAUAUAACCAAUACAUAGCAACAAAAGAGACAAUAGACGUAGAUUUAACGUUGAAAAUGCUACUCGCUCCGUCUCAUAUUAAGUGACUUUCUAUUACAUGUAUCUAAACACUUUUUAGGCAUAGAUACAUUCAUAUUUGUGCAAAUUUGAGUCAUUUAAUAUGAGACGGGGGGGGGGGGGAGUAUUAUACAAAGAUAAAACAAUAAUACCAAAACAUAGCUAGUACCAAAAUAAAAAUGGCUCAAUGCAUGCAAAAGAAUUAAUGCCUCAGUGUAAACCAAGAAAAUUAAUGCAUGUAAUUAAAAGGGAGACAUGUGAGAUCUGCUUUAUACUUGUGAAUCAAGUUUUGAGAGAGAUAGUCAUUCAAAACCUGGACGGAGGGAGUAAAACUCUCAUAUCAUUAGUCUAAUCGUUAAUCAAAGUUAAACUUCGAAAUACAUGUACACUAUUCUUUGCACAGACGGAGUAUUUCCUUUAGCUAAAUACCGGCCCAUUCAUACAAUUUACGCCUCUUUCAAGCAAGGACUUUUAUUGGUGAGUGUUUAAUAUGAAUUGUAUUGUCCUAAAUGCUUACGUUACGGAGAGAGUGCGAUGCCCUUGAGAAUAAUGUAUCUCGUUCUUUCUUUGACAUGACAGUGCCUUACAUCGGGCGGUGCUGCGCAAUUAGAGAGUUUUACUGACCGCAAAGUCGUUGUACUUGGUCUUGCGGAUUUGGGUGUUAUAUCCUCGCUGAACCAUUCAUAUGGAUGUGAUGAUUUUUUUAUCUGUGUCAUGAUGCUUUUGUCGGUAUGACCAUUUGUGCCUUUGAGUCAUUCUUAGGCAUUCUAGCGAAAAUCUUGUGGUUCGAUGACAUGUAUCUUUAGGGAACCAUUCGCAAGGCACGUACGUUUAACGUUGAUAAUUGCAUAUUUUUUUUAGAUGGGCGACUCAGUAAGCCUUUUGAAAUAUUUUAAAUUUGUGAAGUUCGUGAUGGGGUUUUAGUAGCGAUGUUGCUUCUCUUGUCUAAUUGCAAUCUGCUUUGCUAAAAACUUGGCAGUUUUUCGUGUUGCAAACAUUGAUACCUCAUAAAAGAUGUCUUCCAAAGAAUUUCAUACAUAAGUUAUCUUGUACAUACUAGGUACAUAGUAGUUUCUGUACAUGUAAUGUUUGUUGAAUUUGAAUACAGGAAAAUGGAAAUGCACUCCAUCAUGACGCUGGCAUAUGUUUAAUUUACUACUCCCUCCGUUCCAUAAUUCUUGUCUCAAAUUCGUCAAAAACUGGAUGUAUCUAUUACUAAAAAGCAUCUAGAUACAUGUAAUAUUUCGACAAGAAUUAUGAAACGGAAAGAGUACUUUGCAAACAAAAAAGUAUAAAGAGAAUGGUUUGAAUUAGAUUUGAAACUAGUGACACUUCCGUAAAUGUUCCUAGGAAGGAUACUUUUAUUCGGAUUAAUAAAACUGUAUUAUUUUCAUUUUAUUUGGAGUAAAAUCCUAAUUUGUUGCUUCAUACUCCCUCCAUCUCAUAUUAAUUGACUUAAAUUUGUCCAAGUAUGGAUGUAUCUAUGCCUAAAAACGUUUAGAUACAUGUAAUGGAAAGUCACUUAAUAUGUGACGGAGGGAGUAGUUGUUACUACAAAACUUAGAUUUUUUUUCUGUCAUCUAAGGUAGAUAUUUUAUGCAUCCAUGCUUUACUAGGCUUUGAUAUCUGUACAAGUGUAUAUGAUAGCUCUAACAAAAAUAUAACAAAGGAAGGGUUGAUAAAGUUUACAUAUGAAGCUUGAUGACGUGGAUAUAUUACCACCUUAAGCAAUCACGUAAGCAUCGUGCAUUGUACCUACAUUCUCCUUAAACACUGUACAAAGUGCCUCAUGUUAUACAUAAUUUAAAUGUUCGUAAGUGACCUUUACUAGCUAUGGAGCACUAGAUACAAAGACUACAUGCUUGUUUUAAGCGAACACAGUGUUAAUCAGGACUGAUGUUCCCAAAGUACUUGUGCUUCAACUCCCAUGCAACGCGUACCCUGUAACUUUGCAACUGAGAAUAAAAUCCGCCCUGUGCAACAUGACCGUAAUUUACUUAAAAUUUAUACUAUACAAGUAGUUAGAAAAAGCCAGUUGCAUACUAUACAGAAAGAUUAUCAGAAGCCACUGAAAAGAGAUACUCCCUCCGUUCCAAAUCACGAAAAGAAUUAUGGAAGUACCAUCAUAUCUGGAAACUAUAUUUACUUUUUCUAGACCGUACUUUAACGCCUAGACUGCACCCAUCUAUGAAUGGUCUCAACUACUUGUGGGAACAAUGCACUGAUACUCUCAUUGAUGAGUUCCUGGAAAAAAUGUACAGCCUCCUCAUCUUCUAGAUCCAAUCGGAAAUUCUCCUGAAGCUGGUUAAAGACCACAAAAAAAGAAUGAAAGGAAGAUGUCAGCGAGACUGCUUAUGGGUGAUUAAGAUGUUCAGCUUGAAUAACCAGUUACCUUAAAAAUGCCCUUCUCCGUGAUACUUGGAAUAUUUGAUCCCGACAUCAGAUGGAAGAGGUUCAGAAUUAGAUUGCUGGACUUCCGUAAUAUGUUGUAUGCUUCACAACAGUAGGACUUGAAUCUAGCAUAGUAUUGGCUGAAAUGGAAACGGAGUUACAAAAAUUGAAAGAAAAAAAAUCAGCUGACAAAAUAAAAAAGAGAAGGUACACAAAUUAUCAAGCUAAUCAAUAAAGGAGUACCUUUCAACACCACCCAUGGCUUCUACCAUUUCUUUGCAUAAUUUCAUCGGUGGCUGUGAUGGCGCAAACCGGUGUGGUUCUUCGCCCAGCAUAAAAGAGAAAUCAACAUGGAAAAGGCGUCCAUCAUCUCGUAGAAGAAGAUUAUCAAGAUGCCUAGACAAAUAAAUCGGUCAUUAUUGUUUCAUAAAAGCUGCAUAUUGCUAGAUAUUUUAUCAUGCUUCAUACCAUUAAUAAUUUUUUGUGGGAAUAUGUGGUUCAGUUGUUCACUCAGUAAAGACUUCCAAAGAAAAUAAUAAUAUAUGCAUGCACAAUUCUUUCGAGAACAAGCUUAACUACCCUAAAGGUACAUAACCAGAAUACAGUAAGUACCAACAGAUGCUAACCUGUCACCAAUCCCCAAGAUGUAUGUAAUUACGCAGUAACCAGCACAGCUUUUUACAAAGCUUUCCAAGCAUAGGGCAGUAAUGCCGAAAGGACCUUCUUUGUCAGGAUGAUAAAUUUGCAGGUAACUUAUGAUGCUGCCAUGUUUUUGUAGAAUCUGGGAAAAGGCAGUAUUUAAUAAAGAUUUUUUUGAAAAAGCAACAAAAAAGAAAGUAUCAUUAAUCCAUCCAAUGAUCCAGUGUCCAGUAAUUAAAGAUUGGCAUUAUUUUCAUUCAAAUAUUUUAUUUUCUAGCAUUGUUUUCAUGAAAGAAAAUAACAUUCACAAAAAAUGCUGAUAGUCCCAUAAACCUAGUGAUUCCAAAAGAGUACAUAGGGACUCAAAAUGAAUUAACCAGUUACCUGCCAUUUUCUUGACAAAAUUAUAGAUGCUAAGAUUACGAGGAUGACUGAUCUCGUGAUAUUGCAGGCCAAAGGGACAAAAUAUAAGACCAAAUCAGGACACCAGUCCAGAUCGAACACAAUACUGUAGUAAACCUGAACCAGUGUACUAAAACCCUUAACAAAGCACACCUUUAAUUGAGUUCCACCCAUUUGUGCUCACUCUGUAUAUCCAAGCCUUUUAUUUUCUAGAUUUAAUAUUUUUAAGCCUGCAUCUCAACCUUCAACUUGCAAAACUUAUUGGCUGCUUAUUUGUGGACUUUUGGGUAACAUAUAAACAAUUCUAAGACAAUUAAUAACCAAAUAUAUAUGAUAUCUGCAAUGCCUCCCUUGCAUAAUUUAGAUUAUACUGGACAUAAAAUUGUAAAACUUGUAGAGCUCAUUUCAUAUUUACUGUAGUUUGUAGAGAUGAAGGUGGUGCCCAAGAAGAUGGAAUUUGUAGAUAUUUGUAUUGCAAACGAAUAUAUGUGAUAGCAGUUGAUAUUAUGUUCAAUAAUGAAAUUACCUUUGCAAGGGAACUCGAAGGAAUAAACUCAACCAACCCUUCGUUUAGGUCAGUUGCAAGAACACGAUAUGGGGUAAGGUGCAGGUCUAGAUUUUCUGAUUUGAGCAAACGGUCCAUCAAAGAGAACAUUUGGAUGACCUAACAACGCAUAAAGAGAGGAAUUAGUUAAAUAACCUCCUCAAAAACGCAGUCGCAGAUGCACAUACAUGGUGGUGAAAACAGAAAACAAAGGGCACAACAAUCCAUGCUAACGAGAACGGGUAGGGUGUGGGGUUUGAGUAGUUGAUAAUGAGUACAUCGGCGGAGGAGCCACCGCCCCCCUAGCUUAACUUUUCUCAGGGAAAAAGUCAGACUGUUCAUUUCCCUUUACUAUGACAGAAAGGAGGCACAUGAAUAUAUCAAACAUAUAUAUAGGAAGUAUCUCUGGGUAGGGUCGUGGACCCAUGGUUCAAAUUCUGUCACCCAUUGCAUCUCAGGGAAAAAGUAUGUGGUUGUGCUCCAUGAAGUCAUAAUUUUAAGCUUCUGGAAGGGGCCACACUCGCAUGUGUAUGGUGGUAGUGUGUGCGCCUCUGUGUCUAUCUUGUAACCGGAACAAAAAUAAAGGUUUCUAGAAUACAAGAAAAGUAAAUCUGAUUCUUCACAUCAAUGUGGAAGCACAUUUGAAUAUUUACCAGCUGAUCUUUGCGGAGAUUAUCGCCUUUCUUAAAAAUAAUCUUCGAUGUUCCCCCAGUAUGAGUCCUAAAUGUUAGACACAACGGAUACAUAGCACUACUAAAUACAAAUGAUUCUUGAGGCACAAUUCCCGCAAGGAGGACACUUGGUGUUAACGGUGAACGUAUUGGCUGAAAGAAAUUUUACAGAGUAUGUCAGUUUAAUAAAUUUCAACCAAGAUGAUCAAUUCAUAGAUCUGGAAAUGUGCAGCGCAAAACCUUAUGACCAACUGACAUGUAGCUGCGUACUGCAUAAUAAACAACAGAAGUUUCUAUGUGAACUUGUUAAGAACAACAUGAAUUUUACCUCACUGAAGUUGGUAAGCUCACUGAAGACUCCUGACAAUAGCUGUUCUAAUUUCUCGGCUUUGCUUUGUGCCCGUUUAACACUCAUUAAAUCCUUGGUAAUAGAGCGUAACUGAGCAGUAAGAUCUGACUGCCGUGACAUACUAAGCCAAAGUUGAAACCCAUCUUCACCUCCAUCCUUCCCAGCUACCAACUGUUUAGACAAGUCAAAAUACAGAUAAAAAUUAGGAAUGCAUUGCAUACCUACAGAUUUAGUCCCGGUGAACUAAGAUUGUCUGUUUGGAUUUUGGAAAAGAAAAGGAGAAGAAAGUGUACCGUCAUUAUACUUUCUUCAAGUUGGUCAUAUGUACGGUAAUAUCGUCUUGCGUGUGUAGGAUCAUGAAGCUCAACAAUUAAGUACCAGCGAAGGAAGCUCGCAAUUCCAAAAUUGGACAAAGCUGAAAUAAAUAGGAAAAAAAAAUCAUAUUCUGCAGUAAUAAAUAUGAAAACAGCAUUCUGACAGAAAUUAAAGCCAGCUUACAAAAUUUAAAAUAUGUUUGCAAGGGGUUGGAAUUUUUUAUAUAUAUACACAAACUAAUUGUCAUGGGUGUUGGAUCAAUGAUCAAUGGCACAGGGAAGCAAUAAACUAGAAGUCCCAUGCAGCUGCUGGUUCACAAUAUUGUGUAGGAUUACUGUGGGAAUUAAAAUUAGAACCUAUCUUCAACAGAAAAAUUCUCGCUCUGCUCAAAAUAGAACAGAUGAAACGAGUGUGCAUGCACUAGUGUAUAGAAAAGCAGUAACUUUUCUUCUCAACAAUACAUAAUCUUUGUUCAAUCCGACUUUAUGUUACCAACUCUGGAAUAUUGUGGAUUAUAAUCAGUUGAUCACAUUUCAAAAUAGAGAUUAGCGUUGCUUAGGUCUUAAGCUUUUAACAAUGCCAAGUUCUGUUAAAGUAGCAAUUAGAGUCCAACCACCUAAAAUCAUGUACGGCAAGGUUUCACUGAACUCUAUCCUAACCAAACAACAAACUAAAAUAAAACACGGUAGCUAGUUUCAUUGAACACUAUACUAACCAAACGAUAACUGCAACCGGAUUUCACAACACUUGCCGGAAAAAUAUUUCUAGUAACAUACAUGCAUCCCUGUAUUUAGCACACAAACAACUGGGUUUUAAAUAACAACUAGAAAGAACUUACAGCGGCGCACAAGAAAGAGUGCUAGGUGCGACUUGUCUGAUCUUUCAAAUCUCAGAGCUUGUGCAAGCUGCGGUAAAUAGCAUUGUAUCUCUUCAUCAUUGGCCCUUUCUAGUAUGCUGACAGCAUAAGCACGCACCUUUGUACAACAUAGUAGUUUUUGUUAUAAACACAAGUUAGAUAGUAAAAUUUAUUAUCCAUUCAACAGUUACCGAAUUAUCUGACCUAAAAACACGUACCAGCUGAGAUAAUCAUGCAGAAAGUCAUCCUUGCUAUUUAGAAAAAGUAACUUUACAGAAUAAAGGGAAACAUCACUCACAGAAAGAGGGAUGAGGGAAGGCAAGUGACAGAAGAGAUUAGUCACUGAGGACUGAGACAUAAGAUGUAUUGCAUUGGAGCAAGCCCUUUAUGGAGAAGAGAACUGGCAAUCUGGAGGUACAUUUGGAAGAGCUGCUCCAACAAGUGCCAGUUAGUAAUACCAUAUUACCAAGGAUGUAUGUACCCUAUAGAUGUAUCAUGACCGUCCUCCCUGGACCUACAUGUAGUCAUGCUAGGUAGGGACUCAGAGGAGAUAGGAAAUGUCAUGUGCCGGUAAUCCGGGGUCUCAACUGACCUAGGAGAUUUUUCCUAGUUGGUUACAUCAUUAGAUCGUAUCUUAUCAAGAGACAGAAGACUUGCUGACCAAGAAGAUGCCAAUAUAUAACUUGCCAAAGACCAGGCCGUUCCAGAAUGCACAAGCAAAGCUAAAUCACAGAAGUCAUAUGAGACAUAGUUCUUAUGUUCAAUCUCGCUUGUAACCUUUGUAACACUUGUCCAAUGUAAAUAUAAUCAAGCAGUGCGAAGGGCUAUUACCCAUCACCGACACCCCCCAUCCUUUCUAUACACGACCCAUAGCUAGAUCAUAAGAGCAGCGGUUCAUAAACCGUCGACAAACAAGGCUCAAGAUCUUCCUAUGGUUAGUUAUACUUACUUGCUGAACCGGGGACAGGCUCACAAGGCACGGCCUGCCUCACGCACAGAAGUGCUAAAGAUCACAAGGGCGCAGCCUGCCUCAUGCACAAAAGUGCUACUCUAGGGCCAGAAACGCAAGACGAUUCAAGACCUUCUUGGCACAAAAUCUUUUAUUAGAUCUAAUCAACAGUAGCCUUUUAGUGGCGAAUGAGCCCUUCACUGAGUUGUGCUCUCCCAUGAUCGACAAUGCACCAGCAGUCCGUAGAAGGGUUGGUGUCUACAAUUUCCCUCACAGCUUAGCCCAUCUGGAAAAGGCGGAUUCGUUGUGUUUUUAUGGGGACAGUCCAAAUGCCCAACUCCUUGUCAGCAUCAUCAAAGAGGAGGCCCAUACAUGGGCAGCCGCUGGCGGCAUGGCCUUCGGGUCAUGCUGACUACAGGCAUUGGCUAAUUAGCCAAGUAUCACAUGUGUUUUCUAAUUCAACAAAGAUUACCAAGCGGGCGCCAGCCCGAGCUUCCACACUUGAGCGAUAGGUAUGCCAAGUAUCUUAAAUUAGCAAGUUAGAAUUAGAUCUUUAGAUAUAUAUGGUUUGCCCUCCAAGUUUGGUGUGUUUAGCCAGCUGUAUAGUAAUAGAUGGCAAUCCCUUGGUAAUAAAUCAAGCAAGAGUUCCAAAUACUUUCUCUUUCUCUACCCCAUUGUUGCCACACUUCUGCACCUACCUCCAGGCCUAGAACCCCUGUUGAACAGGGCUAGAAUUUAUUAUCCAAUCCACAAAUCCAAACUCCCAAGAACAUGACAACAUAGGCUAGUCACAUAGCAGAAAACGACAAAAUAAAUAAACAGAUAUAUACAAAAUAAAAUGGUAAAUGAAAUCUUUCUACCACAUGGGAAUCCUCAAUAAGGAAAGGACAAAAAGGGGGCAAAAAUGCUUACUUCUUCGUUUUGAAAAACUGCUGAAAGAAGCCCCAGGGCAUCAGCCACAUCAAUGGUUUCCCACCUUCGAAUCAAGGCAACAGCUUGCUUGGCUUCCUACAUACAAGUACAUCAUUAUCACAUAGCAUAAGAGAUCUUGAUUUCAUAUUAUCAACACAGAAGGCACAAUCUGGGCAUCCAAUUAUUCAAAUACAUCCGUCUCUUUUUGCAAUUGUUGAUCAGAACAGAAUAAUAAUUGAAUUGAGAUGCUAGUCACAAAACAUUUCGAAUGAUCCAUUUUACAAUACAAAAAGUCACAAAAAAAUGUUCCCUCCUGUUUAAGUAGCUAUAAGAUGCUGCAAUUGUUGAUUAAAUGUGUUGCAGUAAAAUGCGCUACUGCAACAUUUAUUCACAAUCACUGGACAGUUAUCAUUAAACUAGUUCAACACAGUCUGAUCUGAAAAAAAAACUCAAGACAUCUGAUCUGUAGAUACUCCAAUAUCAAUAAACAUGAAGAAGACAAAAGGUAGAGCUAGAAAAGAAAUAGUAUUAUUCUCCAGUGUUUAUAGUGUUAAGGAUAGCAUGUAUGUUAGGGUUGCCGUGGGAUUGUAAAGUAGUCUAGUUUUUGUGGCAAGAGCCCACAACCUAGAAACAAUUUGUCAUAAGCAAUGAUGAAUUAAUCAGUACUCGGUACCAUAUGAUGCAUAUGACAAAUUAGAAUAUGCAAAAUAAAAACAGCUUUUGUUAAGCAUAUAGACGCUUUUACUUACUUGGGUAUCACUCCAUUCCACGGAGAGGAGGAACUUUGCAAGAGCUUUCUUCUCAGACAUCAAAGAGAAACGAAAUUUCCAUAACAAUUGCUUCUCAUCAAGGCUUAGAGAAUGUGUUGGUGGAUAUUUGAGGAUUGUUUGUAUUAACCUACAAAAGCAUGGAUAAAAUAAUUCAGCCAGAAAUCCUACACGAAGAUAUUAAUAUUUACCCGAACAACAGAUUUUUCCUUCGUUUUUCCUACUGAUUCAUGCAGCAAUUUGUUGCAUCGAAGGUUAAUAUGAAAAUGCUAAAAACAUUUAUUUAAUAUACAAUUCAGAAGUUCUGUGCACUGUUGUGAAACCAAAGAAAAUGACAGACUAAGAUAUGAGAACUGUAAGAGGAGGAAAGCAACAAAGAUGGAAAUUGCACUCACUUUCGCUCAUUUGAACUUGGUUUCAUAUUUCUGUCGAUCAUUCCGCGAGCCAGGCUCCUAGCAAGCAUAAGUUGUUUAUGCUCGGAUGGAUUGAUUUGUCCAACAUUAGGGUCGCUUACAAAAAUAAGCUUAUGCUUAGAUGGAUGCACUAAUGAUAAUGGUGCUGCUAAGCGGAAAUUAGCACCUGAUUCCUGCAUGCAGAAAAAAAAUAAAAGAAACUUAUCUGCAAAGUGCAAACCGCAAAGGUGAACACAUAGAAAAAGUUGACGAUAUAGUAAGUCAUGAUGAAGCUAAUUUGAUCAACAAGAAACAAGCAAGCUUCCUUAAAAAAAAGAAACAAGCAUGUUUUCUUUCAAACAAAGAAAGAAACAAGCGAUAGAUAUUGCAAUAUCCAGGUAGGCAUCAUUUCAAUUGAGCGGUAACUAAAUAUGGUGCAAGCUUCAAAUAAGAAUUGAAUAAAUUGUUUUUAUAGCACUUUGUUGAAUAUGCAUUCUAGUGAAAUAGUAGGUCUAUUGAACUGCAAUCCAAAACAAAACUGCAUCCUUAAUACUCCCUCCGUCCCGAAAUAAGUGACGUGGAUUUGUAUAGAUUCUUAUACAAAUUCACGUCAGUUAUUUUGGGAUGGAGGGAGUAUAAUUUAUCAGAACAGUUUAAAUGAACGGAAUAAAAACAGAAAAAUGAUAUUCAUCUGCACUCAGUGGUCAAUAACACAACCUGAAAAAUAACUUUGUGUUCAAAACUGCAAAGUUCAACAAUUAGGCUAGGGUAUGAAUUCGCAAUUCUCUCACUCUCUUCCUCCAUUUUAUCCACAGCUCUGAAGGUGAGACGAGCUAGCCAAUCUAUAUGUUGUAUCUGUCCUUUCUUGUACUUGUUAGCAACCCUCUCCAAUCUCUCCAUCUCAUCCCUCUUAGUCUUAGAAACCUUCAAGUCAAUAAAAAUAAGUAAGCGCUUUGUGUGAUGAAUAAAAUAACCUAGAAAUGCAACCAUUAGAAGAAAAAAACGAAGCAAAUAUAACUGUGGAUGUAUGAGAGACAAUGAAGCUCUUCAUCUAACCUUGCCAGGAGUUGAGGUGGGGAGACUUCCAUCCGCCAUUUUUUUGGGCCAAAUCCUCAGCCUAUGCCGUCCAGUUUUAAGCUGUUUUUUGCUGUUAAAAAGGGAUACAGUGGCUCCACCAACAAUCAUCCUAUCUUCACCAGCUGACACAUUCCAAACCUAUAUUACAAAAUAGAAAACUCAAAUUGUAAAAUUGGUGGAAAACAUAAUGGUGGAACCAUUCGAAAAUGUCAAUACUUUGAGGCAGAAGGCUCUAAUUAAAUACAUCAUGACACCAUGAGUAAAUUGUGCAUGGCAUAAUUCAUGUUUAAGGAACUAAGGCUGUAUUUGGCAUUGCAGUGGAUUAUGAGAUAAUCGUGUUUUCCUAACAAGUUUUUGACUAUUUUUACCUUUUGGAUAACCAACCUUUUGCUGUUUUCAUGGGUAUUUUUCAACAGCAGAUUAUAAGAUAAGUUGUGCGCAGAACAGUUCAGCAACUGCAAACUGAGACUAACAGUAUUACAUUGCAUAGCUGAUCAACAAGCUCGGUUCAAUAUCUUCCAGUCCUUAUGAAUCUUAAUCUAGACUUGAUUUCACAGUGUUCCAAAAGGCUGAUGAUGCAUUUUCAGUUAUAAAAGUUUGAAAAGUAACUAUUUUUUCAUUCAAGUGUACUGCAAGCAUUUGUUUCCUUGACUGUACUAAGUUUAAUUAUGUAGACCCUAAACCCUCUAGCUGAGAUUUUGGGCAGGAAAGCGGGAUCCUUUUUGUUUACUUGCUUGGAGCUGCCUAUGUGUGAUGUUACUUGACCGGUGGAUAAUUCGGCUAUCAUGGUAGGAUGCAAUAUUCAAAGGAGGACGAGCAUUGGUUAAUUCAGUCAUGUCUGCAUUACCCACGUUUUACAACGAGUACUUUCCUAAUCCUAAUUGAAGUUGUCAUGUACCAGUGUUAAAAUUAGAUGGGCUUUAUUUUGGAAAGGUGACCCAUUUGUUCAAGGGACAAUGCAGUGACUUUGAAUAGAGUUUCUUUACGAAAGAAGUUUAUAGUAUAUAUGUUCUGCUCGGUGCUAACUAAUGUGCAUCUUUUAAAAAAAUAGGCCCAUUCAUUGGAUUCAACUUCGGUAGCAUACAAUGAACUUCAGACUGCAAAAUCCAGUCCACAAAAUAUACCGUGAAUGCAAGCUGUGAGAGGGGUGUUAGAUCCCUGUACUUUAUACUGAGUGUCAUAAGCUCAUUCCAGCAGUAGAUUGGUCCUGAAGAUUCCAACCUGGAAGAAAAGGCAAAUUCAAUCCCAAGAAAAGAGCUGACUAGAUUCAUUAAAAUCAGUAACAUUUAGCACUGAGUUUCUCUUACUAACAUAUUAUAAGAUACAGUACCUUGUAUCGACAGUUAGUCCAAACUGUAUUCCAUCAAUGUAUAGCGCACACUCGACAAACAGCUCCAAAGAACUUUCAAUCAACAAAGUAUGAUCUAGAGAAAACAAACAUUGUGAGGAAAGGAUAUAGGCGUAAAGCUAUGUGGAGAAAUUUUAAAAUGUACAGUUACUCCAUUAGAUAGUGAUGUAUACUCAUCCAUAGAGUACACCAAGCAAUAGGAUUAAGUGAGGUCCAUUUCAACUGACUCUCUCUAAGAUUGUAAGAUCAAAUUUUAAUCAUCUCAUAGAAAUUUCAAGAUGAGGUCGCACUCAACUUGAUCUCUAGAUAUUAUAACAGCAGACCCAAAUCAUUAUUUUGACCAAGCCUCACUUUGUUCUGUCAGAGCUCCAUAUUGACCAAAAAAAAAAGUUUGUCUUGAAUUAAAGCUAAGUACUUUCUAAACCAUGAUGCUUGUUCCAAGCCAAAAGAUCAAGUUAGCAUUCAGGGCCAGUAUCCAUGACCUUAAGUAUGUAAAUUGUAGAAACUUGCUAACUAGUGUUUACAGCAAAAUACCACUAAGUGGACUAAGUGGAAUAAUCACAUCAGGUGGCAUAAGGACAGAAGCCAUUUGAGUGAAGAUAUGGCUGUAAAGUAGCAGGGUGAAACAAUAGUUUUUAAUGUGACAAGAAGUGAAAAUGUAAUAGCCCAAGACUUGAGAAGGACAGGUAAGUGCAAUAUGCCACUAACAUCAGAUGAACUAAGGAGUAAGGACACCAGCAAUUUAAGUAAGCCAUAUCUUUUUUAUGCAUACUGUAAAUGUAACAGAUAAAAACUUGACCAAAAGGUUCAUCCUGACCUUCUGGGGAUAAAAAUAAUCCCCACGAAGAAAAAUGCUUAUUAAACAAGGACAUAUAUAAUUUCCUUAUUCCCUGGAGGCACUUCCAUAAACUUACACCAGUUCAACUUUUGAUUAGUCAGACAGAAAUUAAGCAUGUGUGUAAACUGAGCUGUCUGUACCAGAUAAAGUUUUAAAUUACAAAAUUUUUUUAUCAACUCAAGUACUCUUGUUGGUGGCAAUGUGUAAACUGAGCCAUCGGAUACUUAAUGCAACAAGUCAACUAGUAUAGGCUGUAUAGUCGAACAAAAAAAAUAUAAAUUCACCAAAAAAAAAAUGCUGACUGUUUUGCAGAAAAUAGGUUGAAUAACUGUAGUGCAUUCCUUGAUAAAAUUUAAAUGUAGUACUAAUUAUGCCUUUCGGCAUUGCCCUAACCAGAAAGAAUCUCACUCAAUUUUAUUCCUUGGAAGAAGAAGAAAGGUAUAGCAAAUUUGAACAAAGAAGGCCUGGUUGGAACUUGGGCGGCAGAUUUAAAGCAUUGAGCCACAACAGUUCGCAUAUGACGACACAUUGACCUCCAAUUCGACCAUAGAGGUCAACAAAAAAAUACUAAAGCCUAGCUCUAAUCCCUGAAUAAACCCUUCACCGCUACCCGCCUCAACCGACCAACCCAAAUAACGAGUUUACUAGCAAACCGCGGCUAAACCUAACCCUAGAGGGGACGAACGUAGCUGGGAUAGGGAGGGGGAGAGAAGGGGGAGGCGGGGGACCUGGGAUGAGGCGGUCGACGCGGAACGCGAUCGGCAGGCCGAUGUCGUGCGACAGGAAGAACCGGGAGUCCUUGCUGCCGCAGCUGGGACGGUCCGCCUGGGCGUCCGCGGCCAUCGACGGCAUAGUGCGGUGUGGGCGGCCGGGAUGGUUGGCUGCGCCGCCGCCGGGUGGUGGUGGAGGAGGAAGGACUCGAGUCGAGCCUCGAGGCUGAGAAGCUGUAACGAUCCAAUUAUGGCGGGUGACGCUUUUACGGUUUCCCUUCGUUGUGGAGUAGGAGUUUGUAUUGUUUCCACGGACACGGAAGAGGUGGGGGUGCAAGGAAGCUGAAUAUGGAUACGAAGAAGUAUGCUGACUUUAAUGUCUUAGAAAGUAUAGAGUGCAUGGUCAGAAUUGGUUUUUUUAGGAGGCAAAAGCUCUGCCUGAUUCAUUGAUAAAGCAGGAGAAAAAAAAAAUACAAACACAAGUACAAUGUGGUGCCAGAGCCACUCGAAUUGUUCAAGUGGCAAGCUGGAGUGUUGUACAUACAUUGUCUUACAAUGCAGCAAACAAGAUGCGAAGUUGCUACUACGACUCACCUAUCUUGUGUAUUGCAAAAAGCAGGCAACCAACAAAAUUUACAUGAGCAUAUACUAAGUAGGAGUAAUGGAUUAGCAGCAAUCAAAUCCCACUAUCAUCCUUGAGCGUCAAUGAUGUGUAUCUGCACCACAGAAUGUACAGAAUGGAUAAAAAAGCCCUUAAAUGUAAGUAUUUAAUGAAGCAACAAUUUCAUUCAGGUGCAUAAAUCUGGUUUACAUGACCAAAGAAUACACAACGAGCAAUAACUAUAGUUUUAUCUUUCGUUGGUGCCAACAAAGUGUUU